Molecule: long non-coding RNA, 301 nt
Filed under: Homo sapiens (human)
Lineage: Eukaryota; Metazoa; Chordata; Mammalia; Primates; Hominidae
Description: HSALNT0103133
Rfam family: tRNA (bases 1-72)
Source: RNAcentral
CCGGUUAGCUCAGUCGGCUAGAGCGUGGUGCUAAUAACGCCAAGGUCGCGGGUUCGAUCCCCGUACGGGCCACUGGAUGCCAUAGUGGGGCCCUUCACUUACCUGAAGGGAGGCCUUUUAAUUUAAGCCUGUCGAAUCACAGGUGCUCCGAAUCGAAUCCCAGGUGCUCUGAAUCCGAAAUUAAGACGCCCUCUUAUUCGUCAAGCGAGAAGGCUAUUUACGUUCGUUUCCCUUUAUUGUGAAAAAUGAAAAGAACAGGCCGGGCACGGUGGCUCGAAUCUGUAAUCCCAGCACUUUGGGG